AACUAGGAUUAGAUACCCUAUUAUUAAGAGCAAAAAAUUGUAAGUAAAUAAUAAUUACGAAAGCAAAAAAUUAUGGCGGUAUCUUAAGCUUUUCAGAGGAAUUUGCUCUGUAAUGGAUAAAACACCUAAAUCUUACUUAAAUUAGUUAGAAUUCAGUUUGUAUACCACUAUUAAAAUAAUAAUUUACUAUUAUUAUUAAUAUUCUUUAUUAAGAAAAAAGUUAAGUCAAGGUGCAGCAAAAAUUUAAGAAUGAAGUGAAUUACAUUUCUUAAAAGAAAAAAAAAUUGAAAAUAAAAUUUAGGAUUUGAUAGUAAAAUUAAAAUAAAAAGUUAAUUGAACUAAG
This 343-nucleotide ribosomal RNA is filed under the name Hyalomma aegyptium. RNAcentral describes it as "partial 12S ribosomal RNA". The record is from RNAcentral. Lineage: Eukaryota; Metazoa; Arthropoda; Arachnida; Ixodida; Ixodidae.